RNAcentral lists this ribosomal RNA (429 nucleotides) under Chloroflexota bacterium. RNAcentral's name for it is "Chloroflexi bacterium partial 16S ribosomal RNA". It matches the Rfam family "Bacterial small subunit ribosomal RNA", at positions 355 to 776 of the family's 1533-position model. Lineage: Bacteria; Bacillati; Chloroflexota. The record is from RNAcentral.
UGGGGAAUAUUGCACAAUGGGCGCAAGCCUGAUGCAGCCAUGCCGCGUGUAUGAAGAAGGCCUUCGGGUUGUAAAGUACUUUCAGUCGGGAGGAAGGUGGUAAGGUUAAUAACCUUAUCAAUUGACGUUACCGACAGAAGAAGCACCGGCUAACUCCGUGCCAGCAGCCGCGGUAAUACGGAGGGUGCAAGCGUUAAUCGGAAUUACUGGGCGUAAAGCGCACGCAGGCGGUUGAUUGAGUCAGAUGUGAAAUCCCCGGGCUUAACCCGGGAAGUGCAUCUGAUACUGGUCAGCUAGAGUCUUGUAGAGGGGGGUAGAAUUCCAGGUGUAGCGGUGAAAUGCGUAGAGAUGUGGAGGAAUACCGGUGGCGAAGGCGGCCCCCUGGACAAAGACUGACGCUCAGGUGCGAAAGCGUGGGGAGCAAACAGG